CUGCAGAUCAUAGACAGAGAAUAAUGAGAACAGUAUCCAAGGGCCUUGGUGCGCGCACCCCCGCUUUCACUUUGACUCGUGCAUUUCUACAUUGUGACAAAAACUGUCAGAC
Molecule: long non-coding RNA, 112 nt
Organism: Alosa sapidissima (American shad)
Lineage: Eukaryota; Metazoa; Chordata; Actinopteri; Clupeiformes; Clupeidae
Exons: 3
Source: RefSeq, a predicted model, not a curated record